GAUGAACGCUGGCGGCGUGCCUAAUACAUGCAAGUCGAGCGAACGGACGAGAAGCUUGCUUCUCUGAUGUUAGCGGCGGACGGGUGAGUAACACGUGGAUAACCUACCUAUAAGACUGGGAUAACUUCGGGAAACCGGAGCUAAUACCGGAUAAUAUUUUGAACCGCAUGGUUCAAAAGUGAAAGACGGUCUUGCUGUCACUUAUAGAUGGAUCCGCGCUGCAUUAGCUAGUUGGUAAGGUAACGGCUUACCAAGGCAACGAUGCAUAGCCGACCUGAGAGGGUGAUCGGCCACACUGGAACUGAGACACGGUCCAGACUCCUACGGGAGGCAGCAGUAGGGAAUCUUCCGUAAUGGGCGAAAGCCUGACGGAGCAACGCCGCGUGAGUGAUGAAGGUCUUCGGAUCGUAAAACUCUGUUAUUAGGGAAGAACAUACGUGUAAGUAACUGUGCACAUCUUGACGGUACCUAAUCAGAAAGCCACGGCUAACUACGUG
RNAcentral lists this ribosomal RNA (497 nucleotides) under uncultured bacterium. Its description in RNAcentral is "partial 16S ribosomal RNA". It matches the Rfam family "Bacterial small subunit ribosomal RNA", at positions 28 to 507 of the family's 1533-position model. The record is from RNAcentral.